RNAcentral lists this ribosomal RNA (586 nucleotides) under uncultured bacterium. RNAcentral describes it as "bacterial SSU rRNA". It matches the Rfam family "Bacterial small subunit ribosomal RNA", at positions 338 to 916 of the family's 1533-position model. The record is from RNAcentral.
CCUACGGGAGGCAGCAGUGGGGAAUUUUGGACAAUGGACGCAAGUCUGAUCCAGCCAUGCCGCGUGCGGGAAGAAGGCCUUCGGGUUGUAAACCGCUUUUGUCAGGGAAGAAAAGGCUCUUUCUAAUAAAGAGGGCUCAUGACGGUACCUGAAGAAUAAGCACCGGCUAACUACGUGCCAGCAGCCGCGGCAAUACGUAGGGUGCAAGCGUUAAUCGGAAUUACUGGGCGUAAAGCGUGCGCAGGCGGUUGUGCAAGACAGGUGUGAAAUCCCCGGGCUUAACCCGGGAACUGCACUUGUGACUGCACGGCUAGAGUACGGUAGAGGGGGAUGGAAUUCCACGUGUAGCAGUGAAAUGCGUAGAUAUGUGGAGGAACACCGAUGGCGAAGGCAAUCCCCUGGACCUGUACUGACGCUCAUGCACGAAAGCGUGGGGAGCAAACAGGAUUAGAUACCCUGGUAGUCCACGCCCUAAACGAUGUCAACUGGUUGUUGGGAGGGUUUCUUCUUCAGUAACGUAGCUAACGCGUGAAGUUGACCGCCUGGGGAGUACGGCCGCAAGGUUGAAACUCAAAUGAAUUGACGG